RNAcentral lists this ribosomal RNA (241 nucleotides) under uncultured bacterium. RNAcentral describes it as "partial 16S ribosomal RNA". It matches the Rfam family "Bacterial small subunit ribosomal RNA", at positions 113 to 354 of the family's 1533-position model. The record is from RNAcentral.
CGACGUGAGGAACCUGCCUUUCAGAGGGGGACAACAGCUGGAAACGGCUGCUAAUACCGCAUAACACAUAGGUGUCGCAUGGCAUUUAUGUCAAAGAUUUAUCGCUGAGAGAUGGCCUCGCGUCUGAUUAGCUAGUUGGUAGGGUAACGGCCUACCAAGGCGACGAUCAGUAGCCGGACUGAGAGGUUGGCCGGCCACAUUGGGACUGAGAUACGGCCCAGACUCCUACGGGAGGCAGCAG